ACGAAAGUAAAAAAGGAGGACAAGAAGAGACGCCAUUUCAGGUAUUAAAACGGCUGCAUAUUGUGUGGAUGACACUGCCUCGAAAAUGAGUCUCCAUAACAAGAGAGAUAAUGAGGGCACUGCCCCUUCAUCUGCUGGAUCCAGCUGUGUAUCUAUAAAGAGUGAUAAAUCAAUGGAUUUUCCUCCUAACUUAAAUGAAAGAACAGUGACCUCUGACCCCAGAUCUACACUGUCCUCUACAUCCCACUAUCAGACACAUAUGAAUCAGGAUAACACUGAAAUAGCCCUGAAGAAACACACACUAGAGACUGGAGACCUGCAGAGAGUCAAAGACCAGCACAAAAUUAGCAUGAAAAACAAGUACGGGAGCAUAUUUGAAGGAAUCAAACCAGAAGAGACCCUCCUGAACAGGAUCUACACACAGCUCUACAUCAUAGAGGGAGGGAGAUAAGGAGUAAAUGAAGAACAUGAGGUUUUACAGAUGGAGAAAACAGCCAGAACACAACACUCA
Long non-coding RNA from Sinocyclocheilus rhinocerous, 511 nucleotides. RefSeq lists it as uncharacterized. Lineage: Eukaryota; Metazoa; Chordata; Actinopteri; Cypriniformes; Cyprinidae. The transcript has 3 exons. The record is from RefSeq and is a predicted model, not a curated record.